Molecule: long non-coding RNA, 258 nt
Filed under: Nicotiana benthamiana
Lineage: Eukaryota; Viridiplantae; Streptophyta; Magnoliopsida; Solanales; Solanaceae
Description: long non-coding RNA (NBEN_LNC031943)
Source: RNAcentral
GAAGUGUGCCUUAGCAAGUUCCUUAGUCCUUCCUUCAAGAUUGUCUUCUUGAUCCUUCUUGAAGUAUGGAUUUCACAACAACAAUAAUAUCACAAUAACAAAAGUUGGUGUAUGGCUUUCCACAAGAAUAUCACACAAGACCAAAUAUUGGAAUGGUUUUCCACAAGAAUUUGCAAGACAACAAUGGAGUUUCUCUUGAUCCAAUGGGAGGAAGAAGAGAUUAUGUCUUGCAAUAAUGUGGGAACCAUAACCCCCACU